Molecule: long non-coding RNA, 2013 nt
Organism: Chinchilla lanigera (long-tailed chinchilla)
Lineage: Eukaryota; Metazoa; Chordata; Mammalia; Rodentia; Chinchillidae
Exons: 3
Source: RefSeq, a predicted model, not a curated record
GAUUUACUAUAAAGAGAUUGAACCCAAGGCCUUUGCACUGAGCCAUCUUCCUGGACAUCUACUUGAUCUCCUCGAAUGGAUAUCACACAAACAGAAUCCCUGUCAGAAUCAAGAAAUUUGAGAGUUUUAUGAAACUAAAUUUAUCAACUUCAGAAUGAGUAAGUUCUUUCAAAUCAAGAUACAAAACACAGAAGCCAUAACUGAAAGAGAAAAGAAAGUAUAUCUGUCUUUUCACAUAGAGCACAAAAAAGAAAUUAUGGUUGAUUUGUCAGUUUGUCUUUAUUUCUGCAUUCCACAUUACAUAAAUACUGGGACAUCUGCUGAGACAAAGAAGGCUACUUUAAAAUGCAGCCGGCUGAGCCCGGAGUGGUUGCACUCACCUGUAAUCCCAGCAGUCAGAGGUUUAAGAAGGAAGAUCAUGAGUUUCAGGCCAGCCUAGGCCAUUUAGUGAGUUCAAGGCCACAUGGUGAGACCCUGCCUUAAGAAAUAAGGUUGCAAGAAAAUUAUCCCAUGAUUCAAUGCAUAAAUAAGCAAUUUAUUUUCCAUAUGGAUUUAGCAUGUCAAAAUGCUGAAGAGAGCACAGCAGCAGUGGAUUGUCCCUGCUCUGUGAAGUUUGAGGCCUGCUGGAGACCAUAAUUUUAGUAUUACAAAAGUUGACUCGAACAGGCACUGUUGACAGGAGGCAGAGACAUCAGCUGGUAUUUCUGUCCUGAACAUCUCUAUGGAGAUGGAAAUGUGCUUCCUGACCUGACUGCCGGAUCCCAAGGAUGAGUGCCACAGAGAGUAGAAUGAGGAGCAGUGUGGUAAGAUGCAUACAGUCACUUCAAGUGGACUCUGCCAGACUGGAGAAGAGCCUGCCCAGGUUCAAAGGGAGAGCAAAGAGCCUCAUAUCUUGAUGGGUAGUGACAGGUUCUGGCAGAGGCUCUGUACCUACCAAUGUGGCUUUGGUCUUUUGAGAAACACAGUCUGACCCACUUGUUCAUGACUUGGCCGUAUGGAUUUCAGUCCAAUGAAAGUAUCAGUUUAUAGCAGGACUCAUGCAGAAAACCCAUUGAAUUAGAAAUAGUAUAACCCCAUUUCAAACUAUAGGAUAUGUUCCUGAGCCACAUCUAGUGAGUUUCCUUUGUCAAUCCCCUUGAGUGACACUAGCAGAAACAAUACCUAUCUAUAGGCUUUUUUUCCUCUACAUUUGAUGGUGAUUUUAUAAAAUUAACUUUCUUUUAUCAAAUAAUAAUGAAAAGCAGAUAAAAAAAAUCCUGACAGCUCACUUAAUUAUACCAUUGACCACUUUGGUACAGUGGUUGGUAUAAAAAUAAUAAAUAUAAAGAACACUAUUGACCAGGGUUGAAACAUGUGAAUUAUCCCUGUGUUUCAAUAUAUAUACUUGUUUCUUUUGCUCUGCUUAGCAUCUGUGAUGGUUAAAUGUGGUGAUAAUCUGAGUAAGAAAUGCCUAGGAGAUAGGUUUAGCACAGCUUUGGGUGUAUCUGGAUGAUGGAUAUACUGAAGAUUGAAAAUCUACCCUGAGUAUGGAUAGCACCAACCAGUAGGCCAGUGGCCUGGAUGGAAAAAAAAGGGAAAGAAGGAAGUCUGGAUUCUGCUUCUUCAGAGGAGCUCAAGGCUUCCCUGUUGCCUUUUGGACAUCUGUCUCCAUGGUUGCAGCACAGACUCUUCAGCUUUACAGCUCAGUCUCUCUGGCUUCCUGAUGGGGACUCACUCCCACGGGUCUCUGCAGUGAGUUCCAAACCUCUGAGUUUUGACUGGAUCCUCUGGCUCUCCAGUGAGCAGACAGCCUUUUUGCAUUCUUUUACACCUGACUCUGCAAGAAGCCAAUGUAAAGCUACCUUCAGUACUGUUGCAUAUAUUUUAUAUUAUGCAGAUGUAUGUAUUUUGUAUUAAAUCUGUUCCUCUAAUGAAUCCUAGCUGAUACAGCAUCAUUUUUGACUAAUCCCACUUUUAAAUAAUUUUCUAUAAAGAUUCAAUUAUUUCAGAAGGAAUUUAUUCUACCAAAACUAA